Molecule: ribosomal RNA, 1460 nt
Filed under: Candidatus Aenigmatarchaeota archaeon
Lineage: Archaea; Nanobdellati; Candidatus Aenigmatarchaeota
Description: bacterial SSU rRNA
Rfam family: Archaeal small subunit ribosomal RNA
Source: RNAcentral
AUUCCGGUUGAUCCUGCCGGAGGAUACUGCUAUUCGGAUCCGACUAAGCCAUGCGAGUCGAGAGGGGUAAGCCCUCGGCGAACUGCUCAGUAAUAUGUAGCUAACCUACCCUUAGGUCGGGGAUAACCUCGGGAAACUGAGUUCAAUACCCGAUAGGAGUUUAGCUCUGGAAUGACUAAACUCCCAAAGCUCCGGCGCCUAAGGAUGGGGCUACAUCUCAUCAGCCUGUUGGGGGUGUAACGAACCCUCAAAGCUAUAACGGGUACGGGCCGUGAGAGCGGAAGCCCGGAGAUGGAUUCUGAGACAUGAAUCCAGGUCCUACGGGACGCAGCAGGCGCGAAACCUUCGCAAUGUGCUAACGCACGACGAGGGGAUCCGAAGUGCUACAGCACUGCUGUAGCUUUUGCCGAGUCCAAACAGCUCGGCGAAUAAGGGGUGGGUAAGACAGGUGCCAGCCGCCGCGGUAAUACCUGCGCCCCAAGUGGUAUCCAGUAUUAUUGGGCCUAAAGCGUCCGUAGCCGGUCUGGCAAGUCUUCGGUGAAAUUCACUAGUAAACUAGUGAGCUUGUCGGAGAUACUGCCAGACUUGGGACCGGGAGAGGGUAGGGGUACUCCUAGGGGAGGGGUAAAAUCCUAUAAUCCUAGGGGGACCACCGGUGGCGAAGGCGCCUACCUAGAACGGUUCCGACGGUGAGGAACGAAAGCUAGGGGAGCGAUCGGGAUUAGAUACCCCGGUAGUCCUAGCCGUAAACGAUGCCCGCUUGGUGUUGCAAUCUUCUCGCGAGAUUGCAGUGCCGGAAUGUAGAUGUUAAGCGGGCCGCCUGGGGAGUACGGCCGCAAGGUUGAAACUUAAGGGAAUUGGCGGGGGAGCACACAAGGGGUGGAGGCUGCGGUUCAAUUGGAUCCAACGCCGGAAAUCUUACGGGGAUCGACAGCAGAAUGAAGGUCAGUCUAAAGGGCUUACCUGACAAGCUGAGAGGUAUUGCAUGGCCAUCGUCAGUUCGUACCGUGAGGCGUGCGGUUAAGUCCGUUAACGAACGAGACCCGCGCCCCAUGUUGCUACUCUGCAAAGAGGCACUCAUGGGGGACCGCUGGUGAUAAACCAGAGGAAGGUGCGGGCGACGGUAGGUCAGUAUGGUCCGAAUUUCCCCGGCUACACGCGGCCUACAAUGUCUGAGACAAUGGGAUGCAACCCCGUGAGGGGAAGCCAACCCCCUAAACUCAGACUUAGUACAGAUCGAGGGUUGUAACUCACCCUCGUGAAGCUGGAAUCCCUAGUAAACGAACGUCACUAUCGUUCGUUGAAUCCGUCCCCGCUCCUUGCACACACCGCCCGUCAAGCCAUCCGAGUGGAUCCCAAACGAGGCCUUGCCCCAGUGGCUUGGUCAAGUUUGGGUUCUGCGAGGGGGGCUAAGUCGCAACAAGGUAGCCGUACGGGAACGUGCGGCUGGAUCACCUCCU